CAGAACGAACGCUGGCGGCGCGUCUAAGCAUGCAAGUCGGACGGCAAGGGUAGCAAUACCCCUAGAGUGGCGGACUGGUGAGUAACGCGUGGGUGACCUACCUGAGUGGGGAUAGCCAUUAGAAAUAGUGGAUAAUACCGAAUACGAUCGCGACACUUUGGUGAUGCGAUGAAAGGAGCUACGGCUCCGCUCGAGGAUGGGCCCGCGUCCCAUUAGCUAGUUGGUGAGGUAACGGCCCACCAAGGCGACGAUGGGUAUCCGGCCUGAGAGGGUGUACGGACACAUUGGGACUGAGAUACGGCCCAAACUCCUACGGGAGGCAGCAGCUAAGAAUAUUCCGCAAUGGACGAAAGUCUGACGGAGCGACGCCGCGUGGAUGAAGAAGGCCCGAAAGGUUGUAAAAUCCUUUUGCUGAUGAAGAAUAAGUGUGGUAGGGAAUGACCGCAUGAUGACAUUAGUCGGUGAAUAAGCCCCGGCUAACUACGUGCCAGCCGCAGC
RNAcentral lists this ribosomal RNA (498 nucleotides) under uncultured bacterium. RNAcentral's name for it is "bacterial SSU rRNA". It matches the Rfam family "Bacterial small subunit ribosomal RNA", at positions 25 to 518 of the family's 1533-position model. The record is from RNAcentral.